This 467-nucleotide ribosomal RNA is filed under the name uncultured bacterium. RNAcentral describes it as "partial 16S ribosomal RNA". It matches the Rfam family "Bacterial small subunit ribosomal RNA", at positions 28 to 507 of the family's 1533-position model. The record is from RNAcentral.
GACGAACGCUGGCGGCGUGCUUAACACAUGCAAGUCGAACGGAAAGGCCUCUUUCGGGGGGUACUCGAGUGGCGAACGGGUGAGUAACACGUGAGUAACCUGCCCUUGACUUUGGGAUAACUUCAGGUAACUGGGGCUAAUACCGGAUAGGAGCUCCUGCUGCAUGGUGGGGGUUGGAAAGUUUCGGCGGUUGGGGAUGGACUCGCGGCUUAUCAGCUUGUUGGUGGGGUAGUGGCUUACCAAGGCGUUGACGGGUAGCCGGCCUGAGAGGGGGACCGGCCACAUUGGGACUGAGAUACGGCCCAGACUCCUACGGGAGGCAGCAGUGGGGAAUAUUGCACAAUGGGUGGAAGCCUGAUGCAGCAACGCCGUGUGCGGGGUGACGGCCUUCGGGUUGUAAACCGCUUUCGCUCAUGACGAAGCUUUGUGUGACGGUAGUGGGUAAAGAAGCACCGGCUAACUACGUG